UACAGAGGGUGCAAGCGUUGCUCGGAAUUAUUGGGCGUAAAGGGUAGGUAGGUGGUCUGAUCUGUCUGUGGGUGAAAUCCCGGGGCUUAACUCCGGAAGUGCUCCAGAAACGGUCAGACUAGGAGUACUGGAGAGGUGAGCGGAAUUCCCGGUGUAGCGGUGAAAUGCGUAGAGAUCCGGAGGAACACCAGAGGCGAAGGCGGCCUACUGGGCUGCACCUGACGCUGAGCCGCGAAAGCCAGGGGAGCGAACGGG
RNAcentral lists this ribosomal RNA (255 nucleotides) under uncultured bacterium. RNAcentral's name for it is "partial 16S ribosomal RNA". It matches the Rfam family "Bacterial small subunit ribosomal RNA", at positions 524 to 776 of the family's 1533-position model. The record is from RNAcentral.